Molecule: small RNA, 115 nt
Filed under: Marmota monax (woodchuck)
Lineage: Eukaryota; Metazoa; Chordata; Mammalia; Rodentia; Sciuridae
Source: RNAcentral
GCUGGGCAAGGUGGUACACCCUUGCAGUCCCAGCUACUUGGGAGGCUACGGCAAGAGGAUCACUUGAGCCCAGGAGUUUAAGGACAGCCUAAGCAACAUAGUGAGACCCUGUCUC